GAUGAACGCUGGCGGCGUGCCUAAUACAUGCAAGUCGAGCGAACAGACGAGGAGCUUGCUCCUCUGACGUUAGCGGCGGACGGGUGAGUAACACGUGGAUAACCUACCUAUAAGACUGGGAUAACUUCGGGAAACCGGAGCUAAUACCGGAUAAUAUAUUGAACCGCAUGGUUCAGUAGUGAAAGACGGUUUUGCUGUCACUUAUAGAUGGAUCCGCGCCGCAUUAGCUAGUUGGUAAGGUAACGGCUUACCAAGGCAACGAUGCGUAGCCGACCUGAGAGGGGGGGAGGGCAAACGGGGAAGUAGACCCGGGUCGAGCCUCCGAGGGGGGGACGCGGUGGGAAAUCUUCCGAAAGGGGGGAAGGCCUGACGGAGAAGCGCCGUGUGAGGAAUGAAGGUGUUGGGAUCGAAAAACUGUUUUAUGAGGGAAAAAAAAAUGUGUAAGAAACUAUGCCCGUCUGGACGGUCCCUAAUCAAAACGCCCGGGCAACCUAGGUC
This 498-nucleotide ribosomal RNA is filed under the name uncultured bacterium. RNAcentral describes it as "partial 16S ribosomal RNA". It matches the Rfam family "Bacterial small subunit ribosomal RNA", at positions 28 to 507 of the family's 1533-position model. The record is from RNAcentral.